AGAGUUUGAUCCUGGCUCAGGACGAACGCUUGCGGCGUGCCUAAUGUAUGCAAGUCGAGCGGGGGCGGUCCCUUCGGGGACCAACCUAGCGGCGAACGGUUGAGUAACACGUAGGCAACCUGCCCCGAAGUCGGGAAUAACGCCUCGAAAGAGGCGCUAAUACCGGAUGUGGCCCUUUGUCGCAUGGCGAAGUGGCUAAAGCAGCAAUGCGCUUCGGGAUGGGCCUGCGGCCUAUCAGCUAGUUGGUGGGGUCACGGCCUACCAAGGCGACGACGGGUAGCUGGUCUGAGAGGAUGGUCAGCCAGACAGGGACUGAGACACGGCCCUGACUCCUUUGGGGGGCAGCAAUGAGGGAUAUUGCGCAAUGGGGGCAACCCUGACGCAGCGACGCCGCGUGGGUGACGAAGUCCUUCGGGAUGUAAAGCCCUUUUACCGGGGAUGAGAUGGACAGUACCCGGUGAAUAAGCCCCGGCUAACUACGUGCCAGCAGCCGCGGUAAUACGUAGGGGGCGAGCGUUGUCCGGAAUUAUUGGGCGUAAAGCGCGCGCAGGCGGCUUCUUAAGUCUGAUGUGAAAGCCCACGGCUCAACCGUGGAGGGUCAUUGGAAACUGGGAAACUUGAGUGCAGAAGAGGAAAGCGGAAUUCCACGUGUAGCGGUGAAAUGCGUAGAGAUGUGGAGGAACACCAGUGGCGAAGGCGGCUUUCUGGUCUGUAACUGACGCUGAGGCGCGAAAGCGUGGGGAGCAAACAGGAUUAGAUACCCUGGUAGUCC
RNAcentral lists this ribosomal RNA (772 nucleotides) under uncultured soil bacterium. RNAcentral describes it as "bacterial SSU rRNA". It matches the Rfam family "Bacterial small subunit ribosomal RNA", at positions 8 to 796 of the family's 1533-position model. The record is from RNAcentral.